AAACAGGCUCCAUUUGGAGCCCACAUGUUUUUAAAGACAAAUAAAU
Molecule: non-coding RNA, 46 nt
Organism: Nestor notabilis (Kea)
Lineage: Eukaryota; Metazoa; Chordata; Aves; Psittaciformes; Psittacidae
Source: Rfam